Molecule: ribosomal RNA, 500 nt
Filed under: uncultured bacterium
Lineage: Bacteria
Description: partial 16S ribosomal RNA
Rfam family: Bacterial small subunit ribosomal RNA
Source: RNAcentral
AUUGAACGCUGGCGGCAUGCCUUACACAUGCAAGUCGAACGGCAGCACGGGAGCAAUCCUGGUGGCGAGUGGCGAACGGGUGAGUAAAGUAUCGGAACGUGCCCAGUCGUGGGGGAUAACGUAGCGAAAGUUACGCUAAUACCGCAUACGAUCUAUGGAUGAAAGCGGGGGAUCGCAAGACCUCGCGCGAUUGGAGCGGCCGAUAUCAGAUUAGGUAGUAGGUGGGGUAAAGGCUAACCAAGCCGACGAUCUGUAGCUGGUCUGACAGGACGACCAGCCACACUGGGACUGAGACACGGCCCAGACUCCUCCGGGAGGCAGCAGUGGGGAAUUUUGGACAAUGGGCGAAAGCCUGAUCCAGCCAUGCCGCGUGCAGGCUGAAGGCCUUCCGGUUGUAAACUGCUUUUGUACGGAACGAAAAGGUUUGGCCUAAUAAGCUGAGCUCAUGACGGUACCGUAAGAAUAAGCACCGGCUAACUACGUGCCAGCCGCCGCGGUAA